Molecule: ribosomal RNA, 253 nt
Filed under: uncultured bacterium
Lineage: Bacteria
Description: partial 16S ribosomal RNA
Rfam family: Bacterial small subunit ribosomal RNA
Source: RNAcentral
UACGAAGGAUGCAAGCGUUAUCCGGAUUUAUUGGGUUUAAAGGGUGCGUAGGCGGUCUUAUAAGUCAGUGGUGAAAUCUCGUUGCUUAACAACGAACGUGCCAUUGAUACUGUAGGUCUUGAGUACAGAUGCCGUUGGCGGAAUGUGUCAUGUAGCGGUGAAAUGCAUAGAUAUGACACAGAACACCGAUUGCGAAGGCAGCUGACGAAACUGUAACUGACGCUGAGGCACGAAAGCGUGGGGAUCAAACAGG